This 429-nucleotide ribosomal RNA is filed under the name bacterium. RNAcentral describes it as "partial 16S ribosomal RNA". It matches the Rfam family "Bacterial small subunit ribosomal RNA", at positions 355 to 776 of the family's 1533-position model. The record is from RNAcentral.
UAGGGAAUCUUCGGCAAUGGGGGCAACCCUGACCGAGCAACGCCGCGUGAGUGAAGAAGGUUUUCGGAUCGUAAAGCUCUGUUGUAAGAGAAGAACGUGUGUGAGAGUGGAAAGUUCACACAGUGACGGUAACUUACCAGAAAGGGACGGCUAACUACGUGCCAGCAGCCGCGGUAAUACGUAGGUCCCGAGCGUUGUCCGGAUUUAUUGGGCGUAAAGCGAGCGCAGGCGGUUUAAUAAGUCUGAAGUUAAAGGCAGUGGCUUAACCAUUGUUCGCUUUGGAAACUGUUAAACUUGAGUGCAGAAGGGGAGAGUGGAAUUCCAUGAGUAGCGGUGAAAUGCGUAGAUAUAUGGAGGAACACCGGUGGCGAAAGCGGCUCUCUGGUCUGUAACUGACGCUGAGGCUCGAAAGCGUGGGGAGCAAACAGG